GACGAACCGAGCGAACGUUGUUCGGAAUCACUGGGCUUAAAGGGCGCGUAGGCGGGCCAUCAAGUCAGGGGUGAAAGCCCCCGGCUCAACCGGGGAAGUGCCUCUGAUACUGGUGGUCUCGAGGGAGAUAGGGGCGUGCGGAACUUCCGGUGGAGCGGUGAAAUGCGUAGAUAUCGGAAGGAACACCGGUGGCGAAAGCGGCGCGCUGGAUCUCUUCUGACGCUGAGGCGCGAAAGCCAGGGGAGCGAACAGG
Molecule: ribosomal RNA, 253 nt
Filed under: uncultured bacterium
Lineage: Bacteria
Description: partial 16S ribosomal RNA
Rfam family: Bacterial small subunit ribosomal RNA
Source: RNAcentral